RNAcentral lists this ribosomal RNA (347 nucleotides) under Aspergillus fumigatus. RNAcentral's name for it is "SSU rRNA". It matches the Rfam family "Eukaryotic small subunit ribosomal RNA", at positions 20 to 370 of the family's 1831-position model. The record is from RNAcentral. Lineage: Eukaryota; Fungi; Ascomycota; Eurotiomycetes; Eurotiales; Aspergillaceae.
GUAGUCAUAUGCUUGUCUCAAAGAUUAAGCCAUGCAUGUCUAAGUAUAAGCAAUUUGUACGGUGAAACUGCGAAUGGCUCAUUAAAUCAGUUAUAGUUUAUUUGAUAGUACCUUACUACAUGGAUACCUGUGGUAAUUCUAGAGCUAAUACAUGCUUAAAACCCCAACUUCGGUAGGGGUGUAUUUAUUAGAUAAAAAACCAAUGCCCUUCGGGGCUCCUUGGUGAAUCAUAAUAACUUAUCGAAUCGCAUGGCCUUGCGCUGGCGAUGGUUCAUUCAAAUUUCUGCCCUAUCAACUUUCGAUGGUAGGAUAGUGGCCUACCAUGGUGGCAACGGGUAACGGGGAAU